CGGCGAGUGAAGCGGCAAAAGCUCAAAUUUGAAAUCUGGCUCUUCUGGGUCCGAGUUGUAAUUUGUAGAGGAUGCAAUUGGUGCGGCCUAGGUCCGAGUCUGCUGGAAGGCAGCGCCACUGAGGGUGACAGCCCCGUACGAUUGAUGGUUGAGCCACUGUGAUGCUCCUUCGAAGAGUCGAGUUGUUUGGGAAUGCAGCUCAAAGCGGGUGGUAAAUGCCUUCUAAAGCUAAAUAUUGGCCAGAGACCGAUAGCGCACAAGUAGAGUGAUCGAAAGAUGAAAAGCACUUUGGAAAGAGAGUGAAACAGUACGUGAAAUUGUUGAAAGGGAAGCGCUUGCGAUCAGACUUGAGCCUGCAUGUUCCCCCGUUCCUUUGGACGGGAUAUUCGUGUGGAGCAGGCCAGCAUCAGUUCUGACGGCCGGAUAAAGGUUUGGGGAAAGUAGCUUUUCACUUGUGGGAAGUGUUAUAGCCCCGGACACAAUACGGCCUGACGGGACUGAGGACAGCGUUCGCUAGGAUGCUGGCGUAAUGGUCGUAAGCGGCCCGUCUUGAAACACGGACCAAGGAGUCUAACAUCCGUGCGAGUGUUUGGGUGUCAAACCCACACGCGCAAUGAAAGUGAACGGAGGUGGGAGCUUAGGCGCAUCAUCGACCGAUCCUGAUGUCCUCUGAAGGAUUUGAGUAAGAGCAUGGGGGUUGGGACCCGAAAGAUGGUGAACUAUGCGUGAAUAGGGUGAAGCCAGGGGAAACUCUGGUGGAGGCUCGCAGCGGUUCUGACGUGCAAAUCGAUCGUCAAAUUUGCGUAUAGGGGCGAGAGACUUAUCGAACC
RNAcentral lists this ribosomal RNA (830 nucleotides) under Dactylaria humicola. RNAcentral's name for it is "eukaryotic LSU rRNA". It matches the Rfam family "Eukaryotic large subunit ribosomal RNA", at positions 87 to 941 of the family's 3401-position model. Lineage: Eukaryota; Fungi; Ascomycota; Leotiomycetes; Helotiales. The record is from RNAcentral.